RNAcentral lists this long non-coding RNA (203 nucleotides) under Brassica rapa (field mustard). RNAcentral describes it as "long non-coding RNA (BRAP_LNC004051)". The record is from RNAcentral. Lineage: Eukaryota; Viridiplantae; Streptophyta; Magnoliopsida; Brassicales; Brassicaceae.
AAAAAAUGAAACCAAACUUGAACCAAAAUUUAUAAAUAACCGAACAUAUCAUAUAUAUCUAGAACCAAGAUAAAUAGAUACCUGAAUUUUUAAAAUACAAAUUAUAUACCUACAAAUAUUAAUUAUAUGUAAUUUCUAAAUAACCAAAUAUCUUAAAUAUACUAUUUAUAAGCUGAAUUAUCCAAUAAAAACAAAUUACUCAA